This 860-nucleotide ribosomal RNA is filed under the name Xylodon sp. Its description in RNAcentral is "partial large subunit ribosomal RNA". It matches the Rfam family "Eukaryotic large subunit ribosomal RNA", at positions 66 to 915 of the family's 3401-position model. Lineage: Eukaryota; Fungi; Basidiomycota; Agaricomycetes; Hymenochaetales; Schizoporaceae. The record is from RNAcentral.
UAACAAGGAUUCCCCUAGUAACUGCGAGUGAAGCGGGAAAAGCUCAAAUUUAAAAUCUGACAGUUUCACUGUCCGAGUUGUAAUCUGGAGAAGCAUUUUCCGUGUCGGACCGUGUACAAGUCUCUUGGAAUAGAGCGUCAUAGAGGGUGAGAAUCCCGUCCAUGACACGGACUACCGAUGCUUUGUGAUAUGCUCUCGAAGAGUCGAGUUGUUUGGGAAUGCAGCUCAAAAUGGGUGGUAAAUUCCAUCUAAAGCUAAAUAUUGGCGAGAGACCGAUAGCGAACAAGUACCGUGAGGGAAAGAUGAAAAGCACUUUGGAAAGAGAGUUAAACAGUACGUGAAAUUGUUGAAAGGGAAACGCUUGAAGUCAGUCGCGUUGAUUGAGACUCAGCCUUGCUUUGCAUGGUGUACUUCUCAGUUAACGGGUCAACAUCAAUUUCAGUUGGUGGAUAAAGGCAUUGGGAAUGUGGCACCUUCGGGUGUGUUAUAGCCCUUUGUUGCAUACACUGACCGGGAUUGAGGAACGCAGCACGCCACUAAGGCCAGGGGUUCGCCCCAUGUAACGUGCUUAGGAUGUUGGCAUAAUGGCUUUAAGCGACCCGUCUUGAAACACGGACCAAGGAGUCUAACAUGCCUGCGAGUAUUAGGGUGGAAAACCCUUGUGCGUAAUGAAAGUGAAAGUUGGGACCUCUUGCGAGGGCACCGACGCCCGGCCCUGAAGUUUACUGACGGCGCUGCGGUAGAGCAUGUAUGUUGGGACCCGAAAGAUGGUGAACUAUGCCUGAAUAGGGUGAAGCCAGGGGAAACUCUGGUGGAGGCUCGUAGCGAUUCUGACGUGCAAAUCGAUCGUCAAAUUUGGG